RNAcentral lists this ribosomal RNA (468 nucleotides) under uncultured bacterium. RNAcentral describes it as "bacterial SSU rRNA". It matches the Rfam family "Bacterial small subunit ribosomal RNA", at positions 329 to 794 of the family's 1533-position model. The record is from RNAcentral.
UUCCAGACUCCUACGGGAGGCAGCAGUGAGGAAUAUUGGUCAAUGGCCGAGAGGCUGAACCAGCCAAGUCGCGUGAGGGAAGACGGCCCUACGGGUUGUAAACCUCUUUUGUCGGGGAGCAAAGCGAACCACGUGUGGUUCAUUGAGAGUACCCGAAGAAAAAGCAUCGGCUAACUCCGUGCCAGCAGCCGCGGUAAUACGGAGGAUCCGAGCGUUAUCCGGAUUUAUUGGGUUUAAAGGGAGCGUAGAUGGGUUGUUAAGUCAGUUGUGAAAGUUUGCGGCUCAACCGUAAAAUUGCAAUUGAUACUGGCAGUCUUGAGUACAGUUGAGGUAGGCGGAAUUCGUGGUGUAGCGGUGAAAUGCUUAGAUAUCACGAAGAACUCCGAUUGCGAAGGCAGCUUACUAAACUGCCACUGACAUUGAUGCUCGAAAGUGUGGGUAUCAAACAGGAUUAGAUACCCGCGUACA